RNAcentral lists this unclassified non-coding RNA (228 nucleotides) under uncultured fungus. RNAcentral's name for it is "sequence contains ITS1". Lineage: Eukaryota; Fungi. The record is from RNAcentral.
GUUUUAUUAUAUAGCCUUUCGGCCUAAUGAACAUUCAAUUAUCAGAGUUUGUUUUAAAAGGAGGGGGAGGAGAGAAACAGCCGAUCUAAUUAAAGAGCGAAUGAGCCUUUCUCCCCCCUCAGAGUGCACAGGUGUUGAAUGGAUUAAGGGAGAAUGAGCACAUGCUUUCGCCAGCAUCAACUCUCCCAAGUUUCAUUAAUGAUCCUUCCGCAGGUUCACCUACGGAAA